RNAcentral lists this ribosomal RNA (405 nucleotides) under uncultured bacterium. RNAcentral's name for it is "partial 16S ribosomal RNA". It matches the Rfam family "Bacterial small subunit ribosomal RNA", at positions 30 to 526 of the family's 1533-position model. The record is from RNAcentral.
AUUGAACGCUGCGGCAGGCUUAACACAUGCAAGUCGAGCGAGUGGCGGUCGGGUGAGUAAUGCUUAGGAAUCUGCCUAUUAGUGGGGGACAACAUCUAGAAAGGGAUGCUAAUACCGCAUACUAAUAGAUUAGCCUAAGUCGGAUUAGCUAGUUGGUGGGGUAAAGGCCUACCAUGGCGACGAUCUGUAGCGGGUCUGAGAGGAUGAUCCGCCACAUGGGGACUGAGAAACGGCCCAGACUCCUACGGGAGGCAGCAGUGGGGAAUAUUGGACAAUGGGGGGAACCCUGAUGGAGCAAUGCCGCGUGUGUGAAGAAGGCCUUAGGGUUGUAAAGCGCUUUAAGCAAGGAGGCGUUACUCGCAGAGAAAGCACCGGCUAACUCUGUGCCAGCAGCCGCGGUAAUAC